This is a long non-coding RNA of Rhincodon typus (whale shark), 956 nucleotides long. RefSeq lists it as uncharacterized. The transcript has 3 exons. NCBI's taxonomy places the organism in Eukaryota, Metazoa, Chordata, Chondrichthyes, Orectolobiformes, Rhincodontidae. The record is from RefSeq and is a predicted model, not a curated record.
GAAGCGCUUGUGAAACUGACGAUUCGGGGAGAGGGGGUGGGGAAGAGCUACAGAAAACUUAGGGACAACAGCAGAGAGAGAGAGAGCCCGGGUGCUGUGCUAGGCUUAGCCGCCGGGGACGGGUUGUGGUGGUGGGGGGGGAGGGGGAACUCCAGCGUUGCCGAAGCCGGGCGCACACAAGCGGCGAUGCUCCGCCAAACCAGCGCGGCGCCCACACCGUCGGAGAACGCAGCGCCCCAUUGUCCGCCGCGGUGCCAGACUUUGCAAGUGUUUCAACACUCGAAUGACCCUCCCUAUCUGCGGGGCUCACUUGGCCGCUGGUGUGCCUCUUGCGGGACCCUGAAACUCCAGGCAGGGAACAACAUGAGUUCAUGAGCUGGGGGUUUUCUCCCCUCUGCCCUUGAAGGUGCUGGUUUACAUGGUGUGUUUCAUCUCUUUUGCUGUUCAGAGAACUUUGAUGCUUCAGUGUCGUGUCUCUGCCUCUCCACUCUGUGUGACUCUGGGACGAACGUAAAUAGAACAGAACAGGAAUUGUUGCUCAUAGAUACUCUGGAAAUCUCUGCCUCUACUCUAUAAAACUCAACUUUCACUCACUAACACACAGCCUCCAGAUGCUGCCAGACCUGCUGAACUUCCAGCAACUUCUGUUUUUGUUUCUGAUUUACGGCAUCCGCAGUUCUUUCAGUUUUUACCAUGUAGCCCAUGGUAGCUGUCAUAAAAAGCCAGCUGGUUCCCUAAUGUCCUUUUUAGAGAAGUAAAUCUACUGUGUUUGCCUGGUCUGGCCUACAGAUCCACAACGAUGCAAUUGACUCUUAGCUGCCCUUUGGUCUAUCAUAAAUGUGGGGCUAGCCAGCAAUGUCCUUAUCUUAUGAAUAAAUAAAAACACAAUCUGAAAAAGCUGGUGGAAGUAGAUUAUUAAUUCCCUAUUAUGUACAGGUAUGAGACAUUUGAAACCG